CACCAGACUUGCCCUCCAAUUGUUCCUCGUUAAGAGAUUUGAAUUGUACUCAUUCCAAUUACAAGACCCAAAAGAGCCCUGUAUCAGUAUUUAUUGUCACUACCUCCCCGUGUCGGGAUUGGGUAAUUUGCGCGC
Molecule: ribosomal RNA, 135 nt
Filed under: uncultured phyllosphere ascomycote 1-8
Lineage: Eukaryota; Fungi; Ascomycota
Description: partial 16S ribosomal RNA
Source: RNAcentral